GGCCUACCAUGGUGGUAACGGGUAACGGGGUGUUAGGGCACGACACCGGAGAGGGAGCCUGAGAAACGGCUACCACAUCCAAGGAUGGCAGCAGGCGCGCAAAUUACCCAAUCCCGACACGGGGAGGUAGUGACAAUAAAUAACAAUACGGGGUUCUUUUGGAUCUUGUAAUUGGAAUGAGUACAAUUUAAAUCUCUUAACGAGGAACAAUUGGAGGGCAAGUCUGGUGCCAGCAGCCGCGGUAAUUCCAGCUCCAAUAGCGUAUAUUAAAGUUGUUGCAGUUAAAGAGCUCGUAGUUGAAUUUCGAGACCGGUCUACUGGUCGUGCUUUUGUACGUACUGGUAUAAUCGGUUUCUCUCUUCUGACGAACUAUAAUGCCAUUAAUUUGGUGUUUUAGGGAAUCAGGACUGUUACUUUGAAAAAAUUAGAGUGUUUAAAGCAGGCUCACGCUUGAAUACAUUAGCAUGGAAUAACGAAAUAGGACGUUUGAUUUUAUUUUGUUGGUUUCUAGGAUCGACGUAAUGAUUAAUAGGGAUAGUUGGGGGCAUUAGUAUUCAAUUGUCAGAGGUGAAAUUCUUGGAUUUAUUGAAGACUAACUACUGCGAAAGCAUUUGCCAAGGAUGUUUUCAUUAAUCAAGAACGAAAGUUAGGGGAUCGAAGACGAUCAGAUACCGUCGUAGUCUUAACCAUAAACUAUGCCGACUAGGGAUCGGAUGAUGUUAAUUUUUUAAUGACUCAUUCGGCACCUUACG
This 752-nucleotide ribosomal RNA is filed under the name uncultured Glomus. RNAcentral's name for it is "SSU rRNA". It matches the Rfam family "Eukaryotic small subunit ribosomal RNA", at positions 338 to 1092 of the family's 1831-position model. The record is from RNAcentral. Lineage: Eukaryota; Fungi; Glomeromycota; Glomeromycetes; Glomerales; Glomeraceae.